Molecule: ribosomal RNA, 2324 nt
Filed under: Escherichia coli
Lineage: Bacteria; Pseudomonadati; Pseudomonadota; Gammaproteobacteria; Enterobacterales; Enterobacteriaceae
Description: partial 23S ribosomal RNA
Rfam family: Bacterial large subunit ribosomal RNA
Source: RNAcentral
AAUGGGUCAGCGACUUAUAUUCUGUAGCAAGGUUAACCGAAUAGGGGAGCCGAAGGGAAACCGAGUCUUAACUGGGCGUUAAGUUGCAGGGUAUAGACCCGAAACCCGGUGAUCUAGCCAUGGGCAGGUUGAAGGUUGGGUAACACUAACUGGAGGACCGAACCGACUAAUGUUGAAAAAUUAGCGGAUGACUUGUGGCUGGGGGUGAAAGGCCAAUCAAACCGGGAGAUAGCUGGUUCUCCCCGAAAGCUAUUUAGGUAGCGCCUCGUGAAUUCAUCUCCGGGGGUAGAGCACUGUUUCGGCAAGGGGGUCAUCCCGACUUACCAACCCGAUGCAAACUGCGAAUACCGGAGAAUGUUAUCACGGGAGACACACGGCGGGUGCUAACGUCCGUCGUGAAGAGGGAAACAACCCAGACCGCCAGCUAAGGUCCCAAAGUCAUGGUUAAGUGGGAAACGAUGUGGGAAGGCCCAGACAGCCAGGAUGUUGGCUUAGAAGCAGCCAUCAUUUAAAGAAAGCGUAAUAGCUCACUGGUCGAGUCGGCCUGCGCGGAAGAUGUAACGGGGCUAAACCAUGCACCGAAGCUGCGGCAGCGACGCUUAUGCGUUGUUGGGUAGGGGAGCGUUCUGUAAGCCUGUGAAGGUGUGCUGUGAGGCAUGCUGGAGGUAUCAGAAGUGCGAAUGCUGACAUAAGUAACGAUAAAGCGGGUGAAAAGCCCGCUCGCCGGAAGACCAAGGGUUCCUGUCCAACGUUAAUCGGGGCAGGGUGAGUCGACCCCUAAGGCGAGGCCGAAAGGCGUAGUCGAUGGGAAACAGGUUAAUAUUCCUGUACUUGGUGUUACUGCGAAGGGGGGACGGAGAAGGCUAUGUUGGCCGGGCGACGGUUGUCCCGGUUUAAGCGUGUAGGCUGGUUUUCCAGGCAAAUCCGGAAAAUCAAGGCUGAGGCGUGAUGACGAGGCACUACGGUGCUGAAGCAACAAAUGCCCUGCUUCCAGGAAAAGCCUCUAAGCAUCAGGUAACAUCAAAUCGUACCCCAAACCGACACAGGUGGUCAGGUAGAGAAUACCAAGGCGCUUGAGAGAACUCGGGUGAAGGAACUAGGCAAAAUGGUGCCGUAACUUCGGGAGAAGGCACGCUGAUAUGUAGGUGAGGUCCCUCGCGGAUGGAGCUGAAAUCAGUCGAAGAUACCAGCUGGCUGCAACUGUUUAUUAAAAACACAGCACUGUGCAAACACGAAAGUGGACGUAUACGGUGUGACGCCUGCCCGGUGCCGGAAGGUUAAUUGAUGGGGUUAGCGGUAACGCGAAGCUCUUGAUCGAAGCCCCGGUAAACGGCGGCCGUAACUAUAACGGUCCUAAGGUAGCGAAAUUCCUUGUCGGGUAAGUUCCGACCUGCACGAAUGGCGUAAUGAUGGCCAGGCUGUCUCCACCCGAGACUCAGUGAAAUUGAACUCGCUGUGAAGAUGCAGUGUACCCGCGGCAAGACGGAAAGACCCCGUGAACCUUUACUAUAGCUUGACACUGAACAUUGAGCCUUGAUGUGUAGGAUAGGUGGGAGGCUUUGAAGUGUGGACGCCAGUCUGCAUGGAGCCGACCUUGAAAUACCACCCUUUAAUGUUUGAUGUUCUAACGUUGACCCGUAAUCCGGGUUGCGGACAGUGUCUGGUGGGUAGUUUGACUGGGGCGGUCUCCUCCUAAAGAGUAACGGAGGAGCACGAAGGUUGGCUAAUCCUGGUCGGACAUCAGGAGGUUAGUGCAAUGGCAUAAGCCAGCUUGACUGCGAGCGUGACGGCGCGAGCAGGUGCGAAAGCAGGUCAUAGUGAUCCGGUGGUUCUGAAUGGAAGGGCCAUCGCUCAACGGAUAAAAGGUACUCCGGGGAUAACAGGCUGAUACCGCCCAAGAGUUCAUAUCGACGGCGGUGUUUGGCACCUCGAUGUCGGCUCAUCACAUCCUGGGGCUGAAGUAGGUCCCAAGGGUAUGGCUGUUCGCCAUUUAAAGUGGUACGCGAGCUGGGUUUAGAACGUCGUGAGACAGUUCGGUCCCUAUCUGCCGUGGGCGCUGGAGAACUGAGGGGGGCUGCUCCUAGUACGAGAGGACCGGAGUGGACGCAUCACUGGUGUUCGGGUUGUCAUGCCAAUGGCACUGCCCGGUAGCUAAAUGCGGAAGAGAUAAGUGCUGAAAGCAUCUAAGCACGAAACUUGCCCCGAGAUGAGUUCUCCCUGACUCCUUGAGAGUCCUGAAGGAACGUUGAAGACGACGACGUUGAUAGGCCGGGUGUGUAAGCGCAGCGAUGCGUUGAGCUAACCGGUACUAAUGAACCGUGAGG